Molecule: long non-coding RNA, 595 nt
Filed under: Equus asinus (donkey)
Lineage: Eukaryota; Metazoa; Chordata; Mammalia; Perissodactyla; Equidae
Description: lncRNA (ENSEASG00005029142.1)
Source: RNAcentral
GGCGAGGGAGCUCGGAAGCUGCAGUGCUUUCACGUUCUCCGGGCCCGGGGCACAUGCUCUUCAGCCUGGGAGCGUCCCCUUCCUCUCUAGGCUGAAGGUCUUCAGGGCGGUGUCAGCAAGUUAGAGAGUUUGAUGAUCAUUAUUAUUCUUCAUCAGUAUCAAAUAUUGACGCUGAUUUUAGCCUUCAGACCUUUUUUUGUUUGCACCAAGUUGCAAAAGAAAGCAGACAUUAUUCUGCGUUCAUUAAAAAGAGCCUUGCGUUUUCCUCCGUGAAUUUCACAGUUAGCGCCAUGUGAAAGCGCCUCAUAACUACUAAACACACAGAGCCAGCGCCAUCCAUUCAAGAGCACGCAGGUUCCUGCCAAGCAAAGGCGGACUGAUCAGAGCUGGGAACGCCCUCCCUCCACGCCCCCAUCCCAGCAGCGCCAUCUGCAGCGGGCGGCUGGACGCCCUCCACGCACUCACCACUUCCUUUGGAACUUUUAUGGGCCUGCUUUUGAAACCAUACUCAUUCCAUAUGCAAAGGCUUGGAUACAUAUGCACACCAACAGCCCGUAUGCAUGCAAAAUGUGCAGAUGGGCAAAGGAAAUGAAGC